AUUGAACGCUGGCGGCAGGCCUAACACAUGCAAGUCGAACGAGUGGCGGACGGGUGAGUAAUGUGUGUGAAACAGCCAGAUGGAGGGGGAUAACUACGGGAAACGGUAGCUAAUACCGCAUACCAUCGGAUGUUCCCAGAUGGGAUUAGCUAGUAGGUGGGGUAAAGGCUCACCUAGGCGACGAUCCCUAGCUGGUAUGAGAGGAUGACCAGCCACACUGGAACUGAGACACGGUCCAGACUCCUACGGGAGGCAGCAGUGGGGAAUCUUGCACAAGGGGCGCAAGCCUGAUGCAGCAAUGCCGCGUGUAUGAAGAAGGCCUUCGGGUUGUAAAGUUCUUUCAGCAGGGAAGCGUUACCCGCAGAGAAAGCACCGGCUAACUCCGUGCCAGCAGCCGCGGUAAUUC
This 406-nucleotide ribosomal RNA is filed under the name uncultured bacterium. Its description in RNAcentral is "partial 16S ribosomal RNA". It matches the Rfam family "Bacterial small subunit ribosomal RNA", at positions 30 to 526 of the family's 1533-position model. The record is from RNAcentral.